Molecule: ribosomal RNA, 271 nt
Filed under: uncultured bacterium
Lineage: Bacteria
Description: partial 16S ribosomal RNA
Rfam family: Bacterial small subunit ribosomal RNA
Source: RNAcentral
ACUCCUACGGGAGGCAGCAGUGGGAAUAUUGGACAAUGGGGGAACCCUGAUCCAGCCAUGCCGCGUGUGUGAAGAAGGCCUUAUGGUUGUAAAGCACUUUAAGCGAGGAGGAGGCUACUAGUAUUAAUAUACUGGAUAGUGGACGUUACUCGCAGAAUAAGCACCGGCUAACUCUGUGCCAGCAGCCGCGGUAAUACAGAGGGUGCGAGCGUUAAUCGGAUUUACUGGGCGUAAANCGUGCGUAGGCGGCCAUUUAAGUCAAAUGUGAAAU